UUUAAUCUCUGUUCUUAUCAUUGAAUAAAAUUGGAAUGGUACAGAGAAGAUUAGCACGGUCCCUGCGCAAGGAUGACAUGCUCAGUUCUUAUUAGCAUUAAUGUCUG
Stegostoma tigrinum is the source of this 107-nucleotide small nuclear RNA. NCBI's taxonomy places the organism in Eukaryota, Metazoa, Chordata, Chondrichthyes, Orectolobiformes, Stegostomatidae. The record is from RefSeq and is a predicted model, not a curated record.